RNAcentral lists this transfer RNA (93 nucleotides) under Yersinia enterocolitica. RNAcentral describes it as "tRNA-Ser(gct)". It matches the Rfam family "tRNA". From Rfam's summary of the family: Transfer RNA (tRNA) molecules are approximately 80 nucleotides in length. Their secondary structure includes four short double-helical elements and three loops (D, anti-codon, and T loops). Lineage: Bacteria; Pseudomonadati; Pseudomonadota; Gammaproteobacteria; Enterobacterales; Yersiniaceae. The record is from RNAcentral.
GGUGAGGUGGCCGAGAGGCUGAAGGCGCUCCCCUGCUAAGGGAGUAUACGGUUAAAAGCUGUAUCGAGGGUUCGAAUCCCUCCCUCACCGCCA